This 107-nucleotide small nucleolar RNA is filed under the name Gossypium hirsutum (cotton). RNAcentral describes it as "Plant small nucleolar RNA R71". It matches the Rfam family "Plant small nucleolar RNA R71". From Rfam's summary of the family: R71 is a member of the C/D box family of snoRNAs containing the C (UGAUGA) and D (CUGA) box motifs. Multiple nearly identical copies of this snoRNA have been identified in Arabidopsis, and it is thought to function as a 2'-O-ribose methylation guide for 18S ribosomal RNA. RNAcentral also lists the same sequence under 1 other name. Lineage: Eukaryota; Viridiplantae; Streptophyta; Magnoliopsida; Malvales; Malvaceae. The record is from Rfam by way of RNAcentral.
AACCCACGGUGCGAGCACUUCCUCAAUAGAUCCUUAUACCUCUCUCAUGCAUCGUAUAGGGUCUCUAAGUCCAUUUGCACAAAGGAAGAGAUAUCAUUCCUCAACUU